RNAcentral lists this ribosomal RNA (506 nucleotides) under uncultured bacterium. Its description in RNAcentral is "bacterial SSU rRNA". It matches the Rfam family "Bacterial small subunit ribosomal RNA", at positions 29 to 523 of the family's 1533-position model. The record is from RNAcentral.
AAUGAACGCUGGCGGCGCGCCUAAUACAUGCAAGUCGAGCGAGAAGACGUAGCAAUACGUUUGUAAAGCGGCGAACGGGUGAGGAAUACAUGGGUAACCUACCCUCGAGUGGGGAAUAACUAGCCGAAAGGUUAGCUAAUACCGCGUACGCUCCUUGGACUUCGGUUCAGGGAGGAAAGCGAUACCGUGGGUAUCGCGCUCUUGGAUGGGCUCAUGUCCUAUCAGCUUGUUGGCGAGGUAACGGCUCACCAAGGCUUCGACGGGUAGCUGGUCUGAGAGGACAAUCAGCCACACUGGCACUGCGACACGGGCCAGACUCCUACGGGAGGCAGCAGUAAGGAAUAUUGCGCAAUGGGCGAAAGCCUGACGCAGCGACGCCGCGUGGGGGAUGAAGGUCUUCGGAUUGUAAACCCCUUUCGGGAGGGAAGAUGGAAUGGGGUAACCCAUUCGGACGGUACCUCCAGAAGCAGCCACGGCUAACUUCGUGCCAGCAGCCGCCGCCGUAA